This 638-nucleotide long non-coding RNA is filed under the name Trifolium pratense (red clover). RNAcentral's name for it is "long non-coding RNA (TPRA_LNC009795)". The record is from RNAcentral. Lineage: Eukaryota; Viridiplantae; Streptophyta; Magnoliopsida; Fabales; Fabaceae.
UUUUAAUAAAAAGAAAGAUCAACGGCUACAUGUCUAAAAACACGCGAGAUGCUUUUCAACUACUAAGUUGAUAGUAUUGAGAAAGAUAAAAUUGAAUAAUAAGCGGGUUGUAGCAAAAAUGAAAUUAUAUAAACGCAUUCUAAAUGUAUAGUAAAGAUAAAAGCAGCAAUAACUAAUGCAUGUACACCUCUGCAAAAGAUAUAUAUUUACAAAUAAAGUUCCAAAUCCAAUGGCUUCAUGCCUUCAUGAGUGUAUGUUAGAAGCAUUGUUUGUUGCACUAACUCAAUCAGUCAAAAGCAGCAGUAAGUAAUGCAUUUAGAACUCAGCAAAACAUAUAUAUUUACAAAUCACAUAAAGUUCCACUAACUCAAAUCAGUCAAAAGAAGCAGCAGCAGUAAGUAAUGGACUUACAUCUCAGCAAAAUCAGUCAAAAGAAGCAGCAGCAGUAAGUAAUGCACUUACAUCUCAGCAAAAUCAGUCAAAAGCAGCAGCACCAAGUAAUGCAUUUACACCUCAUCACUAAGUCAAUCAAUCAAAACUAGGAUGGUCAUAUAAGACUGGAAAAGAUGCAUAUAUUUCUAUCCCAAAAGAAUUGUCUCCUCUCUUGAUUUUUACAUAGCCUCCGUCACCAAAUCCUG